This 253-nucleotide ribosomal RNA is filed under the name uncultured bacterium. RNAcentral's name for it is "partial 16S ribosomal RNA". It matches the Rfam family "Bacterial small subunit ribosomal RNA", at positions 524 to 776 of the family's 1533-position model. The record is from RNAcentral.
UACGUAGGGGGCAAGCGUUGUCCGGAAUCAUUGGGCGUAAAGAGCGUGUAGGCGGCCCGAUAAGUCCGCUGUAAAAGUCCAGGGCUCAACCCUGGAAUGCCGGUGGAUACUGUCGGGCUCGAAUCCGGAAGAGGUGAGUGGAAUUCCUGGUGUAGCGGUGAAAUGCGCAGAUAUCAGGAGGAAUACCAAUGGCGAAGGCAGCUCACUGGGACGGUAUUGACGCUGAGACGCGAAAGCGUGGGGAGCAAACAGG